GAUGAACGCUGGCGGCGUGCCUAAUACAUGCAAGUCGAGCGAACAGAUGAGGAGCUUGCUCCUCUGACGUUAGCGGCGGACGGGUGAGUAACACGUGGAUAACCUACCUAUAAUACUGGGAUAACUUCGGGAAACCGGCGCUAAUACCGGAUAAUAUAUUGAACCGCAUGGUUCAAUAGUGAAAUACGGUUUUGCUGUCACUUAUAGAUGGAUCCGCGCCGCAUUAGCUAGUUGGUAAGGUAACGGCUUACCAAGGCAACGAUGGGUAGCCGACCUGAGAGGGUGAUCGGCCACACUGGAACUGAGACACGGUCCAGACUCCUACGGGAGGCAGAAGUAGGGAAUCUUCCGCAAUGGGCGAAAGCCUGACGGAGCGACGCCGCGUGAGUGAUGAAGGUCUUCGGAUCGUAAAACUCUGUUAUUAGGGAAGAACAAAUGUGUAAGUAACUAUGCACGUCUUGACGGUACCUAAUCAGAAAGCCACGGCUAACUACGUG
RNAcentral lists this ribosomal RNA (497 nucleotides) under uncultured bacterium. RNAcentral's name for it is "partial 16S ribosomal RNA". It matches the Rfam family "Bacterial small subunit ribosomal RNA", at positions 28 to 507 of the family's 1533-position model. The record is from RNAcentral.